GGAGGUAUGGCUCAAAAGGUAGAGUGUCAGCCUAGAGCAAAAAAGCCACAUGAGAACGUGAAGCCCUGAGUUCAAGCCCCAGUACCACCA
This 90-nucleotide transfer RNA is filed under the name Dipodomys ordii (Ord's kangaroo rat). It matches the Rfam family "tRNA". From Rfam's summary of the family: Transfer RNA (tRNA) molecules are approximately 80 nucleotides in length. Lineage: Eukaryota; Metazoa; Chordata; Mammalia; Rodentia; Heteromyidae. The record is from Rfam by way of RNAcentral.